RNAcentral lists this long non-coding RNA (321 nucleotides) under Capsella rubella. RNAcentral's name for it is "long non-coding RNA (CRUB_LNC001339)". Lineage: Eukaryota; Viridiplantae; Streptophyta; Magnoliopsida; Brassicales; Brassicaceae. The record is from RNAcentral.
GAGGAUGUUUUGGUCUAGUGAUAUUUUAGAUUCUAAUCAUCAUUUAUAUAUUAAUAAAUAUAGUUUAUAAGGUUUACCAAAAAAAAAAAACAAAAAUAAAUACAGUUUAUAUAUGUUGACACAAAAGGUAACUUAUGAUAUGAUAUGAAAGUCUGCGCUCUUUUUUUUUUUUUUUCUUAAAGUAUAUUCCGAAUUAUUAUUUUGGUAUUUUUAAAUGUCCAAAAAAGAUCUAUAACUACUAAACAUGGGCGGUUGAGACUUAACAAGUUGUCUCCUAAUCUAUAGUGCUUAAUACAUGCAUUAUACACGUUACUAGCUUUG